This is an RNA transcript of Pan troglodytes (chimpanzee), 3491 nucleotides long. It is a transcript of the gene named putative protein FAM157A, with no coding region annotated. The transcript is spliced from 11 exons. The record is from RefSeq and is a predicted model, not a curated record. Lineage: Eukaryota; Metazoa; Chordata; Mammalia; Primates; Hominidae.
GGGCAUGGCCUGGUAAAUGCAGCUCAGAUCCGCUCCCCAGGCAAGUCAAGGAAGUUGCUGCCCAGAAACCAAGUGAGGACAUUUACAAGAACCGGCAGCAGCAGCAGCAGCAGAAACUGGAUUUGCUUUUUCACCAGAGGAUCCAGAUUUCCCUGUGGCCUCGCAAACAAAAAAGAAGGAAGACGGAGCAGCACAGUCAUCCCUUUGUGAAAAAGGCAUUCAGAGACGGGGUUUCACCGUGUUAGCCAGGAUGGUCUCGAUCUGCUGACCUCGCGAUCCGCCCGCCUCGACCUCCCAAAGUGCUGGGAUUACAGGCGUGAGCCACCGCGCCCGGCCUCAGCUGGUUUUUCAAAAGCCAUGGCGUGUAAUUGUCAGAACAGUGAACUUCGGAGAUUCACCGGAGGGGCGAGGCCACAGCUCGACCGCGAGCACCUGAGCAUCCUGCACCGCCUGCGACGGCCGUCAGGGGGCGCGAUGCCGCCUCACAGAACCUCAAGAGGCGCCCGGGUUCCGGCACAGACGCCCUGCGGCUCCAGGGGGCGGAGCCGAGCCGCCUCCUCAGGACCUACGCAGGAGACGCCUCCAUCCCUACAGGGACACCUGAGAGGACCCAGCCUCCUCCUCCUCAGGACCCACUCGGGAGACGCCGCUGGCUCUAUAGGAACACCUGGGGACCGUGGCCAGGGACGACCCAGCCUCCUUCUCCUCAGCUCCUCAGGAACGACUGGGGAAGCUGUGGCUUCAUGGUCCCCGAGGCUGCCCGAGGAAAGGUAUUUCAGGACAGCCAGGAGGGGGCGCACAUCCGCCGAGAAACUGUGAGCAAGACCGUCUGUGCUGAACCAUGGCGCCACCAGAGGGCGCGCGAUCCCGCCCCAACCAACUUCCCGCUGAGGUGCCAGAAGCAUCGAGGAGCUUCAACUUCCUCAGGGCAGCACGAGGGUCAUGUUAAUUUGGUGUUCUUCAUUGGUGGAGUCUUGCUCUGUCAUCCAGGCUUGCAGUGUCGUGAUCUUGGCUCACUGCAAUGUCUGCCUCCUGGGUUCAGGUGAUUCUCCUGCCUCAGCCUCCUGAGUAGAUGGGACUACAGGCGCCCGCCACCAUGCCCUGCUGUUUUGUAUUUUUGAGAAAUGGAAUCAUCGUAUCGCUGAUCUACGUAAACAAACUGAAGAAUUGUCUGAAAGAAAAUAUGACAUGAACUUAUGAAUUCAACAGGUGAAGGUUUACAACUUGAUAAAUCAGCUUUGUGAGCUCGAGCUGUAAAAGCCAAAGGUCCGGUGAUGAUCCCAUACCCUUUUUUCCAGUCUCAUGUUGAAGAUUUUUAUGUAGAAGGCCUUCCCAAAGGAAUUUUUUUUUUUUUUUUGAGAUGGAGUUUUCACUCUUAUCGCCCAGGCUGGGGUGCAAUGGCGCAACCUUGCUGGUCACUGCAACCUCUGCCUCCUGGGUUCAAGAAAUUCUCCUGCCUUAGCCUCCCAAGUCGCUGGGAUUACAGGUGCCCACCACCACACCAGGCUAAUUUUUGUAUUUUUAGUGGAGAUGGGGUUUCACCAUGUUGGCCGGGCCAGUCUCGAACUCCUGACGUCAAGUGAUCUUCCCGCCUCGACUCCUGACAUCAAGUGAUCUUCCCGCCUCGGCCUCCCAGAGUGCUGAGAUUACAGACGUGAACCCAUGCCUGGCCAGGAAUUUUGUUUUUAGGAAGGCUUUCUACUAAUGGAAUUCCUGGCCUUGAGAGGAUGUUACUUUCGAAGGAAAGGAUUUUUUUGUUAUUAAAAGAGCCACCUAAGCUGAAGAUUCCCUUGAGAACAAGUACUGUCCUGCGGUUUCAUGGCCUUUCUUCCAUUUGUGGUUCUUGCGAAGUGGAAUUUAAAUGACAUCUUAUCAAGAUGGAUAAACCCUAGUUUCCCAGUGCUGGAAUAUAGAAAAUGGAUGGACAAGUAAAUCCCACUCAGCACCCAUAGUCCAGGCAUGGGGACCUCAACACACCUGAGCCCCAGACAUCACCUUUCAUUCUGGACCUACCAUGAAAGACUUCUGAAUCCAGGAAGAGAAACUGACUGGGCAACAUGUUAUUCAGAUGGGGUCUUCUUAUGUUGCCCAGGUUGGUCUCAAAUUCCUAGGCUCAAGUGAUUCCGCCCACCUCUGCCUCCCAAAGUGCUGGGAUUACGGGCAUGAGCCAGCGCAUCUGGCCACCUUAUUUUCUAUUACUGCCUCAAUGUAAUGGCUCCAUCUCAGGAACAGCCAAUGAAAGAGAUGCACAGGACAAGAAACAGGACCUUGCCCUGUCACUCAGGAUGGAGUUCAGUGGUCCUAUCAUGGCUCAUUAUAGCCUCAAACUCCCAGGCUCAAGCAAUCCUACCAUGUCAGCCUUCCCAGUAGCUGGGACUACAGGUAAGCAUCGUGACACUCAGUGAAUUUUGUUUUUAUUUUGUUGUAGAGAUGGGACCUCAGUAUGUUGCCACGGCUGACCUUGAACUCCUGCACUCAAGGGAUUUUCCUGCCCUGGCCUCCCAAAGUAUUGGUAUUACAGGCAUGAGCCAUUGUGCCCACCGUCUCUGGUUCUUAACCUUCUGCCUCCCUCUUCCAGUUUUAAAGAAUGCUUGUAAUUACAUGGGCUCUCCUAGAUACUCCAGGAUAAUCUUGUUUUAAGGUCAGCUGAUGAGCAACAUUAAUUUUAUCUGCACUCUUAAUUCCCCCUUCCUAUGUAAUUGUGCUAUGUAACAUAGGACAUGAGCAAUUGGUGGUGGUGGGGGUUAUCACUUUGGCCACCACAGUAACUAUUUUAUGCCAGGUACUCAGCUAAGCACUGGUGAAUUAAGCAUGAAUAACACACACUCCCUAAUCUCCAUCCAUUCAUGGGAGGAGCACUUCACCUGCCAUGCUCCUGAGAAUCUCGGGAGUCAAAGAAGUCUUCUAUGAGGAGGUGAUGCCAAAGCGGACAGGUGACAGAGGAGUCGAAGCUAGCUAGGAAGAGAGUAGAGGUUUAAGGGGAAGCAUAUUAUAAGCAGAGGAUAUUACCCACUUCAGAGACUCCCAGAGGAGAAAGAGUGUGCGUUCAAGGGGCAGAUGAGGCUCAGUUGGACUCCAUAGCAGAUGAAAUGGAGAGGGGCAAGCAGUGAGGCUGCCUUGCAAGGCAGGGCAGAGCAGGGGCUGUUAAGGAGUUUGGACUUAAUCCCUGAGGCAAGGAGAAGUGAUGUAAAUGGGGGAGUAACAUGAUGAGAUUCAUGGAUUAGAGACAUGGCUCAGGCUGCUAUAGAGAAGGCACCAGGGAGAGCAGAUGGCUCAAUGGGUGUGCAGGAGACCUCUCCCUGAGUUUAGGGAGAGGUUUUUAAAACAGAAGAAGUUUGAGUAAUUUAAAUGAUGAUGGGAAGGAGCUAAAAGUGGGGGAUAGGUUAAAGAUACAGGAAAGUGGGAGGAAGAACCGACAAGUGAGGUUCCAGAGAGGGCAGGAGAAGAGGAGAUUCCCUUAGGGGGAUUAACACUUUCUUUUCUUUUUUCUU